This 253-nucleotide ribosomal RNA is filed under the name uncultured bacterium. Its description in RNAcentral is "partial 16S ribosomal RNA". It matches the Rfam family "Bacterial small subunit ribosomal RNA", at positions 524 to 776 of the family's 1533-position model. The record is from RNAcentral.
UACGUAGGGGGCAAGCGUUGUCCGGAAUCAUUGGGCGUAAAGAGCGUGUAGGCGGCCAGAUAAGUCCGCUGUGAAAUCUCGAGGCUCAACUUCGAGCUGUCGGUGGAAACUGUCUGGCUAGAGUCCGGAAGAGGAGAAUGGAAUUCCUGGUGUAGCGGUGAAAUGCGCAGAUAUCAGGAAGAACACCCGUGGCGAAGGCGUUUCUCUGGGCCGUAACUGACGCUGAGACGCGAAAGCGUGGGGAGCAAACAGG